AGAGCGCCGAACGGGAGCUUCGGCUCAUUUUGUGCCUGUUUCCUGUGGGACGCGGCGGUGGCAGCUGG
RNAcentral lists this microRNA precursor (68 nucleotides) under Erinaceus europaeus (western European hedgehog). RNAcentral's name for it is "miRNA (ENSEEUG00000023616.1)". Lineage: Eukaryota; Metazoa; Chordata; Mammalia; Eulipotyphla; Erinaceidae. The record is from RNAcentral.